GACGAACGCUGGCGGCGUGCCUAAUACAUGCAAGUAGAACGCUGAAGAGAGGAGCUUGCUCUUCUUGGAUGAGUUGCGAACGGGUGAGUAACGCGUAGGUAACCUGCCUUGUAGCGGGGGAUAACUAUUGGAAACGAUAGCUAAUACCGCAUAACAAUGGAUGACACAUGUCAUUUAUUUGAAAGGGGCAAUUGCUCCACUACAAGAUGGACCUGCGUUGUAUUAGCUAGUAGGUGAGGUAACGGCUCACCUAGGCGACGAUACAUAGCCGACCUGAGAGGGUGAUCGGCCACACUGGGACUGAGACACGGCCCAGACUCCUACGGGAGGCAGCAGUAGGGAAUCUUCGGCAAUGGGGGCAACCCUGACCGAGCAACGCCGCGUGAGUGAAGAAGGUUUUCGGAUCGUAAAGCUCUGUUGUAGGUCAAGAACGAGUGUGAGAGUGGAAAGUUCACACUGUGACGGUAGCUUACCAGAAAGGGACGGCUAACUACGUG
Molecule: ribosomal RNA, 497 nt
Filed under: uncultured bacterium
Lineage: Bacteria
Description: partial 16S ribosomal RNA
Rfam family: Bacterial small subunit ribosomal RNA
Source: RNAcentral